UAAUAAUUAACUGUACCGAAGACAGUAGGUGACGCAAGUCUUAAUUUCCUACCGAGGACAUUUAUUGAAGAACAUUCAAUAGUCCCUCUAUGUCUACGGUGACAAGGAGAGGCUUUUUUCUUU
Molecule: small RNA, 123 nt
Filed under: Enterococcus dispar
Lineage: Bacteria; Bacillati; Bacillota; Bacilli; Lactobacillales; Enterococcaceae
Description: Ribosomal protein L10 leader
Rfam family: Ribosomal protein L10 leader
About the family: This family is a putative r-protein leader autoregulatory structure found in B. subtilis and other low-GC Gram-positive bacteria. It is located in the 5' untranslated regions of mRNAs encoding ribosomal proteins L10 and L12 (rplJ-rplL).
Source: RNAcentral